CCUACGGGGGGCAGCAGUGAGGAAUAUUGGUCAAUGGACGAGAGUCUGAACCAGCCAAGUAGCGUGAAGGAUGACUGCCCUAUGGGUUGUAAACUUCUUUUAUAUGGGAAUAAAAUGUUCCACGUGUGGGAUUUUGUAUGUACCAUAUGAAUAAGGAUCGGCUAACUCCGUGCCAGCAGCCGCGGUAAUACGGAGGAUCCGAGCGUUAUCCGGAUUUAUUGGGUUUAAAGGGAGCGUAGGUGGAUUGUUAAGUCAGUUGUGAAAGUUUGCGGCUCAACCGUAAAAUUGCAGUUGAAACUGGCAGUCUUGAGUACAGUAGAGGUGGGCGGAAUUCGUGGUGUAGCGGUGAAAUGCUUAGAUAUCGCGAAGAACUCCGAUUGCGAAGGCAGUUCACUGGACUGCAACUGACACUGAGGCUCGAAAGUGUGGGUAUCAAACAGGAUUAGAUACCCGAGUAGUC
Molecule: ribosomal RNA, 460 nt
Filed under: uncultured bacterium
Lineage: Bacteria
Description: partial 16S ribosomal RNA
Rfam family: Bacterial small subunit ribosomal RNA
Source: RNAcentral